Molecule: ribosomal RNA, 440 nt
Filed under: uncultured bacterium
Lineage: Bacteria
Description: bacterial SSU rRNA
Rfam family: Bacterial small subunit ribosomal RNA
Source: RNAcentral
GACGAACGCUGGCGGCGUGCUUAACACAUGCAAGUCGAACGGUGAAGGGAAGCUUGCUUCCCGGAUCAGUGGCGAACGGUGAGUAACACGUGGGCAAUCUGCCCCAGACUUUGGGAUAACUACUCGAAAGAGUAGCUAAUACCGAAUAUUCAGCCUUGCAGGCAUCUGCGAGGCUGGAAAGUUUCUCGGUCUGGGAUGAGCCCGCGGCCUAUCAGCUAGUUGGUGAGGUAAUGGCUCACCAAGGCGACGACGGGUAGCCGGCCUGAGAGGGCGACCGGCCACACUGGGACUGAGACACGGCCCAGACUCCUACGGGAGGCAGCAGUGGGGAAUAUUGCGCAAUGGGCGAAAGCCUGACGCAGCAACGCCGCGUGCGGGAUGAAGGCCUCGGUGUAACCGCUUCAGCAGGAGAAGCGAAAGUGACGGUACCUGCAGAAGAA